Long non-coding RNA from Harpia harpyja (harpy eagle), 356 nucleotides. RefSeq lists it as uncharacterized. The record is from RefSeq and is a predicted model, not a curated record. The transcript has 3 exons. Lineage: Eukaryota; Metazoa; Chordata; Aves; Accipitriformes; Accipitridae.
GAAAUAUGACAGCCCAACACAGAGGACAUCAGUAACGUCUUCAGAGCUAGAUGUGCUAAGAUGGACCUGCAUCUCAAAAAGAAUAAGUGGCCUGGUGCAAAAAGGGAUGAGCAGUGGAGUGGUUACAAGCCUGAGCCUGAGCUCCAGCUCAAGCCUGUGGAUGGGACACUGGCUCUACCUCGACGUUGCCCUGCUGGCUACAAGUAAUGGUACUGGGGCUGAGCUUCCCUGGUUUAUCACAUUUUGGCUCAGCUUACCAGGAAGAAAACGCUCCGUCACGUGCGGUGCUACGUAACGGAGGCGUGCAGUCAAACUGGAGCGGUAAUGAAGAUGAAUUGCACGACCACACUCUGCAU